Non-coding RNA from Acanthosepion pharaonis, 89 nucleotides. The record is from the annotation of a GenBank genome assembly. Lineage: Eukaryota; Metazoa; Mollusca; Cephalopoda; Sepiida; Sepiidae.
CGGCUCCCGUACGAUCACCGAAGUUAAGCAACGUCGAGCCUGGUCAGUACGCAGAUGGGUGACCGCUUGAGAAUAUCAGGUGCUGUAAG